CCUUCUGCAAUCUAUGGUUAAUUUUCAAAAGCCUGGAACACACUCUGCAGUCGCUAACUGUGGUGUUUUCCCUCAACAGGGCAGAGUUGGGCCCAUGCUGAAGACUUUUGAAAACGCUGCUCUGCAAUUGUGGAUCUGGUCCCGUCGGCUCUUGCAAACUCAGUAAUGUUUCACCGCCGUAAGAGACAGCAAAGUCUGACAGCUCUACUCCUCUCCAGCUUUGGAAGAUGCAGGCAUCACAAAGCCUUAAAACCUGGUUCCUGAAAUGGCUGUCACGACUGAGAAAGAGGGGACGGAGCGGUUGAGCUACGGGGUGGUGACGUCUGCCAUCUGCCUUCCCAGCUGAGGAGACUGCGGGUAACCGUGCCUCUAGUAAGGUCCACGCCUGCGUAGAGCUGCUGUGACUCCUGCAUGGACAGCCCAGCUGAACUGAGAUGCCUUUGAACCCCUGGAAGCUGGUUUCCACCAGGAGGUGCCACUGUGCAUUACCCAUGGACUGAGCGUUGGCUCUGCUCCACAUCACGCAUGAGAGGGACUGCGAAAGAAGAACGGGCAGAGUGAAAUUCCACCCAAGGCAUUUUCAUUCAGCCAUGACCCAAAUUCCCACAUUGGCUACUGGUGCUCUACUCUCUAAACAGGCCCACUCCGGCUUUGUGGAGGGGGCGAGAGCCUGCAUAUGCAAAACGUGUACACAGCAAACGUGUGUCUGCUGUGCUGCCGUGUUCCAGUCCAGAAAGACAGCGUUCGCCUGCACGCCUCUGUCUUCUUCGUGGAGCUCCUAGGACAUAAAAGCGACUCUCUCUGCCAAGCAAAGAACUGACAUAGAGAUGAAGACACUGUCAUUGUGGAUGAAGCAGGUCGCGGAAGAUGAAAG
Molecule: long non-coding RNA, 874 nt
Organism: Grus americana (Whooping crane)
Lineage: Eukaryota; Metazoa; Chordata; Aves; Gruiformes; Gruidae
Exons: 5
Source: RefSeq, a predicted model, not a curated record